Molecule: unclassified non-coding RNA, 304 nt
Filed under: Hevea brasiliensis (rubber tree)
Lineage: Eukaryota; Viridiplantae; Streptophyta; Magnoliopsida; Malpighiales; Euphorbiaceae
Source: RNAcentral
UUGAGGAUAAGGAAGCUCCACAAAGAGAGCCCGAAGAGGAAGAAGAGGAGGAGGAGGAUGAGAUAAUCGAAUCGGACAUUGAGCUUGAGGGCGAGACUGUUGAGCCUGAUAAUGAUCCUCCUCAGAAGAUGGGUGACCCGUCAGUAGAAGUCACAGAGGAGAAUCGCGAGGCUUCGCAAGGGGCAAAGGCCAAAGCUAUGGAGGCCAUCUCUGAAGGUAAACUGGAGGAAGCGAUUGACCAGUUAUCUGAGGCUAUUUCCCUCAAUCCGACUUCAGCAAUCAUGUAUGCGACCAGAGCUACUGU